RNAcentral lists this long non-coding RNA (318 nucleotides) under Capsella rubella. Its description in RNAcentral is "long non-coding RNA (CRUB_LNC000520)". The record is from RNAcentral. Lineage: Eukaryota; Viridiplantae; Streptophyta; Magnoliopsida; Brassicales; Brassicaceae.
AAAGUAUCUAUAUUAACUCAAAGGAUGGAGUUAAUAUUACCAAGGAAGAUAAGUGGGAAGUUAAUUGGAGGGGCGUGAAGGACACUAGCUCGAGAUAAAGUCUUAGUGUUGAAGAAGUGAGAUCAAGUCUUAGAGUUGAAGAAGUAAGAAAUGACCUUUGUCAUUUCCGAAGGUCAAGAUAAGAUGAAGAAUAAAUGUUCAAUAUGAAACCUAUUGACGACGAAGAGAAGAGAAAAGAGAAGAAUUAUCCAUUGGAAGGGGUAAUUAGAAGAAGCUAAUGAGAUAUUGGAGUCAAGUAUAGUGAAGAAACAAUAAGAG